Molecule: ribosomal RNA, 504 nt
Filed under: uncultured bacterium
Lineage: Bacteria
Description: partial 16S ribosomal RNA
Rfam family: Bacterial small subunit ribosomal RNA
Source: RNAcentral
GAUGAACGCUAGCUACAGGCUUAACACAUGCAAGUCGAGGGGCAGCAUGACGAUAGCUUGCUAUUGUUGAUGGCGACCGGCGCACGGGUGAGUAACGCGUAUCCAACCUGCCCUUGUCCACCGGAUAACCCGUCGAAAGGCGGACUAACACGGUAUGCAGUCCACAGCAGACAUCUAACGUGGACGAAAUGUGAAGGAGAAGGAUGGGGAUGCGUCUGAUUAGCUUGUUGGCGGGGAAACGGCCCACCAAGGCGACGAUCAGGAGGGGUUCUGAGAGGAAGCCCCCCCGCAUUGGAACUGAGACACGGUCCAAACUCCUACGGGAGGCAGCAGUGAGGAAUAUUGGUCAAUGGGCGAGAGCCUGAACCAGCCAAGUAGCGUGCAGGAAGACGGCCCUAUGGGUUGUAAACUGCUUUUAUACGGGGAUAAAGUGAGUCACGUGUGGCUUAUUGCAGGUACCGUAUGAAUAAGGACCGGCUAAUUCCGUGCCAGCAGCCGCUGUAA